Molecule: transfer RNA, 73 nt
Filed under: Bos taurus (domestic cattle)
Lineage: Eukaryota; Metazoa; Chordata; Mammalia; Artiodactyla; Bovidae
Also listed under: 5 other names
Rfam family: tRNA
About the family: Transfer RNA (tRNA) molecules are approximately 80 nucleotides in length. Their secondary structure includes four short double-helical elements and three loops (D, anti-codon, and T loops).
Source: Rfam by way of RNAcentral
UCCCUGGUGGUCCAGUGGUUAAGGCCCUGCACUUUCACUGUAGAGGGCACAGGUUCAAUCCCUGGGUGGGGAG